RNAcentral lists this long non-coding RNA (606 nucleotides) under Brassica rapa (field mustard). RNAcentral's name for it is "long non-coding RNA (BRAP_LNC007731)". The record is from RNAcentral. Lineage: Eukaryota; Viridiplantae; Streptophyta; Magnoliopsida; Brassicales; Brassicaceae.
ACCAAGGUCCACUUCCAGCAGACAGCAAACAAUUAUGGAGCUUAAUGGAGCAAGCUUUUGCUAGUGGAGUUAUCCAUAUAUGCCACUUUUAUUUUUAUUUUUAUUUUCUUAAUUUCACCCUUGUAAACUCCUAUAUAAAGGAGUCUUUGCUUCAGUUGUAAACCAAGUUCUCAUUCUCCCAUUCUCCUACUCUUUCAUUCAUAUCUCCUCUUACAUUCUCUCCAGUCCUUGUAAUCGAGAACAUUGCUACAAUCUCUUUUUAAGUAAGUUUUUAAUAAAUAAAGUUUUAAUUAUAUUUUUCUUGUUUCAUUUUCUCGUUUUAGUAUUAUGCUUUAUGUUUAAGUGGCUGGUCUAACCGCCCAUAUUUCUGUUUUAUUUUUAAGUUAUAUUUCAAUCUGUAUCAUAUAUGUUUUAAUUUACUUUUUAUUAUAAAUGUUUAAUUAUGCUUUCUCCACGAUCGUUGUCUGAUGGUAAAUCUUUUUUCUUUUUUUAUUUAUUUAUUAAAAACUCUAUUUGAUAUGCAGAUUUUUCAGAUCUGGAAGACUUCUGGGACGACUUACCUGUUAGUCGUCUAAAAUAUAAUGCACUAGUUGUGGAGGAAUGAUC